UUAUCCCCGCGGUGAAAAUUCUAGCAUAUCAAUAAGCGGAGGAAAAGAAACCACAGGGAUUGCCCUAGUAACGGCGAGUGAAGCGGCAACAGCUCAAAUUUGAAAUCUGGCUCUUUUAGAGUCCGAGUUGUAAUUUGCAGAGGGCGCUUUGGCUUUGGCAGCGGUCCAAGUUCCUUGGAACAGGACGUCACAGAGGGUGAGAAUCCCGUACGUGGUCGCUGGCUAUUGCCGUGUAAAGCCCCUUCGACGAGUCGAGUUGUUUGGGAAUGCAGCUCUAAAUGGGAGGUACAUUUCUUCUAAAGCUAAAUAUUGGCCAGAGACCGAUAGCGCACAAGUAGAGUGAUCGAAAGAUGAAAAGCACUUUGGAAAGAGAGUCAAACAGCACGUGAAAUUGUUGAAAGGGAAGCGCUUGCAGCCAGACUUGCUUGCAGUUGCUCAUCCGGGCUUUUGCCCGGUGCACUCUUCUGCAGGCAGGCCAGCAUCAGUUUGGGCGGUAGGAUAAAGGUCUCUGUCACGUACCUCUCUUCGGGGAGGCCUUAUAGGGGAGACGACAUACUACCAGCCUGGACUGAGGUCCGCGCAUCUGCUAGGAUGCUGGCGUAAUGGCUGUAAGCGGCCCGUCUUGAAACACGGACCAAGGAGUCUAACAUCUAUGCGAGUGUUUGGGUGUCAAGCCCGAGCGCGUAAUGAAAGUGAACGGAGGUGGGAACCCGCAAGGGUGCACCAUCGACCGAUCCUGAUGUCUUCGGAAGGAUUUGAGUAAGAGCAUGGCUGUUGGGACCCGAAAGAUGGUGAACUAUGCUUGAAUAGGGUGAAGCCAGAGGAAACUCUGGUGGAGGCUCGCAGCGGUUCUGACGUGCAAAUCGAUCGUCAAAUUUGGGCAUAGGGGCGAAAGACUAAUCGAACUAUCUAGUAGCUGGGUUCCUGCCGAAGUUUCCCUCAGGAUAGCAGUAACGUAUUCAGUUUUAUGAGGUAAAGCGAAUGAUUAGAGGCCUGGGGGUUGAAACAACCUUCACCUAUUCUCAAACUUUAAAUAUGUAAGAAGUCCUUGUUACUUAAUGAACGGGACAGUGAAUAAACGUUAUAGUGGGCAUUUUGUAGCCACAAAACCUGGCGGA
RNAcentral lists this ribosomal RNA (1118 nucleotides) under Alternaria alternata. RNAcentral's name for it is "partial large subunit ribosomal RNA". It matches the Rfam family "Eukaryotic large subunit ribosomal RNA", at positions 24 to 1163 of the family's 3401-position model. The record is from RNAcentral. Lineage: Eukaryota; Fungi; Ascomycota; Dothideomycetes; Pleosporales; Pleosporaceae.